AUACAAACAGAGGAUAGUAUUG
Molecule: small nuclear RNA, 22 nt
Filed under: Arabidopsis thaliana (thale cress)
Lineage: Eukaryota; Viridiplantae; Streptophyta; Magnoliopsida; Brassicales; Brassicaceae
Description: snRNA_16393
Source: RNAcentral